Long non-coding RNA from Photinus pyralis (common eastern firefly), 1942 nucleotides. RefSeq lists it as uncharacterized. The transcript has 2 exons. The record is from RefSeq and is a predicted model, not a curated record. NCBI's taxonomy places the organism in Eukaryota, Metazoa, Arthropoda, Insecta, Coleoptera, Lampyridae.
AAUAGAUAGUGGCGCCAUCGUGCUGUAUUUGUGAACUAGUGCAAAAUUCGGCCUGGCAACAUCCAGAAUCGGAUUCAGCACAUUUUUUUACAUCUAAAAAACCAUGUGGCCAAAAUGGCUCAUAAAAUGCCGUUAGAAUUAAGAAACAGAGUCGUUUUUCGAUUUGGCCACUUAACUAUAUCAUCACAUCCUGCUAGAUCGUGCGUUGUGAAAUCGAUAGUGUAGCGUAGUGGUAAGAGGAUCGAUUUCAUGCCACGUAAACAUACUAUGGCAUGGCUGGCCGCUGCGUAGUGCUAGGCGUGCUACGCUAGGCAGUACUAACAAUUAACACUCGGUUCCCUUCCAGGUGCCGUUCUGCGCCCAACUGGUGAGCAAUGUCGCGUGUUGUGUGCAUCGGAUGGAGUGCUAUGCUGCAGUUAUAAUUUCAAUUGUGGCGACGACGCUCCCGCGGUGGGCUACGACGGACUGGUCGCCUCUUCGACAUCCGUGGCCAGAUAUAGUUCUAGUGCUAAUAGCGAUCAAACUGAAAGUAGUGUUACUAAUAAACAAUUUAGUGUAUCUGUACAAGUGGCUAACAAUAGUGCUCAGACUAUCGGCGUCAGUGACAUUGGGAGAAAUAAUAAGACUGAUAUGUCGGGGGGUUGAACUUUGCCGGCACGUAGCUGGUCUAACAUUCCUAGAGCCACCUGUGCAAUAGCGUAGAUUCGGCACAAACGUUGCCUGUUCUCUUCUGCCUGUCGCGGCUGCUUGCUAGGCCACCUCUCAAGUGUCUUCCUAGUUUAUAACAGUAGCCAGGCUGUUUUGUUAUGUCAAUGGCAGUUGCAUUUUGUCAGCUUCUAAAGAAGUAGGUUUUCACACUGGCGUUUGUAUUACCACAAUAUUAUCACUAGCGUACCGCCAUCUGUUUUUACACAUUUGCAAUUGAAGUGUCGAAUGAAUGUGUUAGAAAGAAGUAGUUAGUGUACUAAUUAAGAUAAGAAAAUACAAAGAGAAGAAAAUGCAUUCCGGUGUGACGAGAGCGACGACGCGACGAGAAGUUAAAAAUCUGCGCGGAAACGUUGGUAUGAAAUCUGCUUCUCGACGUCUAUAUCUGUUAUGUAAUCAAACAAAAGGGUUGAAGAAGGACCCGCAGGUUUGCUGCAAAAUGUAUGUGUAAAGAUCAAUUAUGUAUGUUAUAUAAAACUCUAGUCAAAUUAUUAGCUUGCUAAAACAUUCGGCAAGCUUAAUGUAUUUACAGUUAUAUAUAUUAUAUACCUAUAAAUAAUGGAAAAGCAUAUCUAGCUAAAUAAAAAAUUAUUGCAAUAUUGAAAUUGUGAUAUUGUUGAAUGAGACUAAUAAUUAAUGUAAUUUUCCAUUCAUUGUAAAUUAGUUCCUGAGUCUUUUAACGCUGCAAAUGCUCAGCAGUUUAAAACAAAUAAUAGUAAUACUAUUGUUAACAAUGUACUUAGCACAAAUUAUAAGAUUAUAUAAUAGGCUACCGCUGAACAACGAAUUGUUUAGCUCUUUUCAUAGACACUUUUAUUUUGUUCCCAAUUAUUAUUUAUUGCACAAAUGGCGCAGUAGAUACCUACAUUCUAACGAUAUUUUUUUUACCAAAAAAGGUCACUAUUGUAAAUAAAAUGUCGCUAUAAUAUUGUAUUAAUAGUCUUAAAUGUAGAAAACCUAAUUGGAAAAUUUUUCAAAAACAGAGCACAUAAUCAUAAUAGUUAUAGUACCUAAUUUUACUUUUCAGUAUUUUGUUUAUAUGUUUUUCAUCCUAGUCAACUAACAAGCUAGUUUCUCAUCCUAUGAAAACCGCUUCUUAAUGACGACGUUUCAUCCUUUGUUCGAUUAUAUCUUAUUUGUUACGACUAGAAUUUAUUACACUGUACAGAACAUUGCCAUAGUCCUUUGUUGUAAAGAUGUGUGCCAAUCAUUAUUACAAAUAAAUUAUAAUCAAGGA